Molecule: ribosomal RNA, 468 nt
Filed under: uncultured bacterium
Lineage: Bacteria
Description: partial 16S ribosomal RNA
Rfam family: Bacterial small subunit ribosomal RNA
Source: RNAcentral
GACGAACGCUGGCGGCGGGCUUAACACAUGCAAGUCGAACGGAAAGGCCCUGCUUUUGUGGGGUGCCCGAGUGCCGAACGGGUGAGUAACACGUGAGUAACCUGCCCUUGACUUUGGGAUAACUUCAGGAACCUGGGGCUAAUACCGGAUAGGAGCUCCUGCUCCAUGGUGGGGGUUGGAAAGUUUCGGCGGUUGGGGAUGGAUUCGCGGCUUAUCAGCUUGUUGGUGGGGUAGUGGCUUACCAAGGCUUUGACGGGUAGCCGGCCUGAGAGGGUGACCGGCCACAUUGGGCCUGAGAUACGGCCCAGACUCCUACGGGAGGCAGCAGUGGGGAAUAUUGCACAAUGGGCGGAAGCCUGAUGCAGCAACGCCGCGUGCGGGAUGACGGCCUUCGGGUUGUAAACCGCUUUCGCCUGUGACGAAGCGUGAGUGACGGUAAUGGGUAAAGAAGCACCGGCUAACUACGUG